RNAcentral lists this unclassified non-coding RNA (442 nucleotides) under Hevea brasiliensis (rubber tree). Lineage: Eukaryota; Viridiplantae; Streptophyta; Magnoliopsida; Malpighiales; Euphorbiaceae. The record is from RNAcentral.
UGUGUCAGUCUUCUGCUUAUCAGCAUGGUAAAGUGUCUGGAGGCGGAUCAGGUUAUUUUGUGCAGUUGAGUUCUUGCCAAAUUCAUUUCCAGUAUUUGCCCAUUCUCCAACCCACCCAAAACCUUGAUGUGCUUUGUUUGUNAUUGUGUUUUGUUGGUAUCAGCGAGGAGGGCAAAAAGCCACUCAAGAGUCUUUUCCAUUUCAGCUUUCACCUGAGCUACUGUGAACUCUUCCUUAGGGUCAACCAUCUGUAGUUGGGAACGUAGAGCUGUCUUAAUACUGAUUGGCAACCCAUGAUACAAAUUGUCCCUUGUAUUAGGAGGAAGGGAGGUGGGACGAGAUGUAAUGGUAUCAAUCUGGUUAAUAACAUUAGCAUAGUGCAGAGCAAGACCAGCUGGACCUAGCCUUUCAGGAUUCUUUUCAGGCUCUUCACUGGCUGGGG